This 240-nucleotide ribosomal RNA is filed under the name uncultured bacterium. Its description in RNAcentral is "partial 16S ribosomal RNA". It matches the Rfam family "Bacterial small subunit ribosomal RNA", at positions 15 to 244 of the family's 1533-position model. The record is from RNAcentral.
GAUCAUGGCUCAGGAUGAACGCUAGCUACAGGCUUAACACAUGCAAGUCGAGGGGAAACGACAUCGAAAGCUUGCUUUUGAUGGGCGUCGACCGGCGCACGGGUGAGUAACGCGUAUCCAACCUGCCCACCACUUGGGGAUAACCUUGCGAAAGUAAGACUAAUACCCAAUGACGUCUCUAGAAGACAUCUGAAGGAGAUUUAAAGAUUUAUCGGUGAUGGAUGGGAUGCGUCUGAUUAG